GCGGCUGGACGAGGCUCAGCUUUUGACAGGCCAACUUGAGACAUGUUUGAUGCAACGGAGAAUGGUGCAAGUCUAACUUGCUUCCAGGCUGAAGCUUCAGAAAGGGACAAUGGGUUGAUGAUGCAGACCCUAUUGACAGUGACCCAGAAUUUGGAGGUCUCAGAAAUACUGAAGACCACAAAAGCACCAGAGGUCUCAGAGGAUGUGAAGGUCUCAAAAGCCCCAAGGAUCUCAAAAGCCACAGAAGUCUCAAAGACUCCAAAGGCUCAGGAGGCAGCUGCUACCCAGGCCUCGCCUACCACUCAGCUAACUGACACCCAGGUUCUAACAGCUGAAAACAAGAGUCCAACAGCUGACACCAAGAAACAGAAUCCUGACCUGCAGCCUGCCACUGAGACUAAAAAGGUCAGCUGUGUGGCUGAUACGAAAGUCAAUACAAAGGCCACAGACUGAGGCUAUUGUCUCUCAGACUCCAGCAGAUGAACCUAAACCUGAGAGCACAGCUCCCCAGGCACAGGAGAAUCCAGAUACUUGGCCCAAGAUCAAGGCCAAGAAAGCCCGAAAGGUGAAACAUCUGGAUGGAGAAGAGGAUGGCAGCAGUGAUCAGAGUCAGAGUUCUGGAAUUACAGGUGGCCAAAGGGUCUCAAAGGCCUUAAUGGGCUCAAUGGAUCACCAGGGCUUCAAGGGGUCCCAUAGCCUUUAGGGCCCACAGGGCAUCAAGGACUCAGUUGGCUGCUUGAGCACGGAGAGCCUUGCUCUCCCUGAGGUCGCCUAAAGCCCAUAGGAGCAAGGCUCAGUGUAGAGCUGCCAAACUGCAGGCAUCCUAAGAGCCUGAAGCACCACCAGCUCGGGAUAUGGCCCUCUUGCAAGGGAGGGCAAAUGAUUUGGUGAAGUAUCUAUUGGCCAAAGACCAAACAAAGAUUCCCAUCAAGCACUCAGACAUGCUGAAGGACAUCAUCAAAGAAUACACUGAUGUAUACCCUGAAAUCAUUGAACGAGCAGGCUAUUCCUUGAAGAAGAUAUUUGGGAUUCAGUUGAAGGAAAUUGAUAAGAAUGACCACUUGUACAUUCUUCUCAGCACCUUAGAGCCCACUAAUGCAGGCAUACUGGGAACAACUAAAGACUCACCCAAGCUAGGUCUCCUUAUGGUGCUCAUGAAUGGAAAUCAGUCCAGUGAGGCUGUCAUCUGGGAAGUGCUAUGCAAGUUGGGGCUGCGCCCUGGGAUACAUCACUCCUUUUUUGGGGAUGUGAAGAAGCUCAUUACUGAUGAGUUUGUGAAGCAGAAGUACCUGCACUACUAUGCCAGAGUCCCUAAUAGAAAUCCCCCUGAAUAUGAGUUCUUCUGUGGCCUGAGCUCAUAUUAUGAGACCAGCAAGAUGGAAGUCCUGAAGUUUGCCUGCAAGGUACAAAAGAAUGAGCCCAAGGAAUGGGCAGCUCAGUACCAAGAGGCAAUAUAAGCAGAUUUUAAGGCUGCAGCUGAAGCCAAGGUAAAGGCCGAGAUUAGAGCUCAAAUAGGCAUUGGGCUUGGCUCGGAGAAUGCUGCCGGACCUUGCAACUGGGAUGAAGCUGAUAUUGGACCCUGGGCCAAAGCCCAGAUUCAGGCGGGAGCUGAAGCUAAAGCCAAAGCCCAAGAGAGUGGUGAUGCCCGUACUGGUGCUGGCACUCUCACAUUUGGGCUCUUUGCUGGCCUCAGUGGAGCUGGUACCAGCAACAGUGGAAGCUCUGGUGCAUGUGGUUUCUCCUACAAGUGAGAUUUCAGACACUGUUAAUCCCAGCAGUCUUUCUCUUCAAGCCAGGGUGCAUCCUCAAAAUCCUGCUCAACACAGCACUCAAGGCAGCCAUUAUCAAUCACUUGAAGUUGAUACUCUGCAUUAAAUCUAUUUGCCAUU
Molecule: RNA transcript, 1889 nt
Organism: Nycticebus coucang (slow loris)
Lineage: Eukaryota; Metazoa; Chordata; Mammalia; Primates; Lorisidae
Gene name: melanoma-associated antigen D2-like
Exons: 1
Source: RefSeq, a predicted model, not a curated record